This is a non-coding RNA of Pimephales promelas (fathead minnow), 1336 nucleotides long. Lineage: Eukaryota; Metazoa; Chordata; Actinopteri; Cypriniformes; Leuciscidae. The record is from RefSeq and is a predicted model, not a curated record.
CGUCAGUACAAUUUGGUAGGUGGCCAAUUAGUAAUUGCCCAUUUGGGGUAUAUAAACCUUUCAUUCAGGCAUCUUGGUGUGCGUCAUGGUUGAAAGCCCGCCCCUUCCGUUGUAAACACCGACUGAGUGUCCUGCUGCGUUGCUGAGGGUUUGUGCGUGUGGGUUGCUGCUUACUCCCAGUAUGAUGUGCCUUCAGCGCUUCCAUCGUUGUGGCAUCGCAAUGUAAUUGAUCGGAGCACCAGCUGUUUCAGUCAACGAGCCUGUUAAAUGAUUCUCUGGUAUAUGUUGACGUGUAACUGGAUCGUACUCUCUGGUAGGUAAACUGGGUUAGUAUUUUGUGGCAUUAUCGGGUGGGUAACUGGUCGAUCACUUCAUUAGUUAUAAUCCUCCUUGUUUACUGUUUUGAAGGUUUUCGUGGACUCUAAAGUGGGCUAAUUAAGUGAGCAGUCGCAUUAAACGGUGCGCUCUCCCUCUCCGUCACGCUCUCUCUCUCUCUUUGAAGCCACGCUGCUGCUUUCUCCACAUCGAUACGUUUAAGUCAAGCGUGUAUGCGGGCCUGAGGAUUAGUUGCUUUUUUUUGCUAUUAGUUGGCAUUUUCUUUAGUAUUGUUUUCUUUUGUUGAUCAGUUUUCAAGUUAUGUAAGUUUGAGUGACUGUCUGUCUGGAAUAACUGCUGGGUGUGUUCCUGCAGCGGUCAUUUGAAAUUGUUUCAAUUGUUUUUUUUAUUUUAUUUGAAUUGUCUGUCUUUAAUUCGUUAAUAGUAUCCAUAUAUUGUUUGUCUUUUUGGGGUGUGUGUAAGUGUUUUUUUUUGUUCUUCUUUUGUUCUUGCUAUUUUAAAGUCAAUAAAUUGACUUUGAAUAUUGUUUUUUUUGUUUAUUACUUUCAGUUUCUUAUGUAUUUUCUUUUUCUCUUUUCCUUUAGGAGCUGAGGCCCUCCUGGAGCGGGCUGGUUGUCUGUUUUACAGCAGGUUUUGUUCACUGAGAAUGUUAUUGCAGUUUCAUUAUUGCCGUGUCACUAUCGUUGGCUAUUUGCAGUGAAUUGGGUGGGUGUAAGAGUGGUUGCUGUGUUUCUUAUGGUGGACCUGCUGCUGGCACACUAGCCUGCUCCUGUGCUGAAGCCUCAGUCUCCGACGUUAAGUCAAGUGUGUUAUUAAUUUUGUAAAAGUGUAUUGAGAAUUUGGUGAGCUUAUUAUAAGCCGUGUGAGGUUUAUUGUGAAUUUUGUUUUUUUUGCUUAUUAUUUUUUUGACCGUAUUUAAGCCAAUCAUGACCUGUGAACUCCUGUUUUUAAAGCACUGUUGAUCAACUUUUAACGUCAAUAAAACAAUUUUUGUACGGAA